This 119-nucleotide ribosomal RNA is filed under the name Lepisosteus oculatus (spotted gar). The record is from RNAcentral. Lineage: Eukaryota; Metazoa; Chordata; Actinopteri; Semionotiformes; Lepisosteidae.
GCCAAUAGCCAUGUCCCUCUGCAACUUACAAUUGGCAGCCCACUGAAGCUAAGCAGGUGUGAGCCUGGUCAGUACCUGGAUGGGAGACCUCCUGGGAAAAACUAAGGUUUCUGCUGGAA